This 305-nucleotide ribosomal RNA is filed under the name uncultured bacterium. RNAcentral's name for it is "bacterial SSU rRNA". It matches the Rfam family "Bacterial small subunit ribosomal RNA", at positions 338 to 640 of the family's 1533-position model. The record is from RNAcentral.
CCUACGGGGGGCAGCAGUGAGGAAUAUUGGUCAAUGGGAGAGAUCCUGAACCAGCCAAGCCGCGUGAGGGAAGACGGCCCUAUGGGUUGUAAACCUCUUUUGUCGGAGAACAAAACCCGGGACGUGUCCCGGACUGCGUGUAUCCGAAGAAAAAGCAUCGGCUAACUCCGUGCCAGCAGCCGCGGUAAUACGGAGGAUGCGAGCGUUAUCCGGAUUUAUUGGGUUUAAAGGGUGCGUAGGCGGUCACGCAAGUCAGAAGUGAAAACCCGGGGCUCAACCCUGGGAGUGCUUUUGAAACUGUGCGG